CAGUUGUCUGAACUCGCUGAAACAUUGUACAGUGUAUCUUUUACCCUCCUGGAAUUGAUUACAAUAGUUCAAAUCAAUUUUGGAUGCUUUUCAAUAGGAAUAAGAAGAGUAAAAAGAAUAAGACUUUAAAAGGGGGAGCUGCUGAGCUGCCUGUUGCUGUCUGUGUACUAAAAACCUGUGGACUGAGUCUGGGUGAGCGGACCUUGAAACUGUGGAAUAGUUAUGGCUAAUGGUGUAGGUAAGCCUGAGAAAAGCAAGCCUAAAGACAGAAGAGGCUCUAAAGCACUAACUUUUGAAGAGUCGGUGAUGUAAAUGUUGACUGAAAUAAAACAGAUGGAAGAGGAACCCAACAGGGCGUACAGGAGCUUAAACAAGAAUUUGUAGAUUUGAAAAAAAUUCAAGAAGUCAAGGCAGAAGUUACAGGUCACAAGACAAAAUUGUCGGAAUUGGAAAGUCCCUGAGAGUCCCUGAUGUGGAGAGGACCCAACAGGAAGCGCUCAAUGCAAUUGCUUUUUUGGCUGGAAGAAUCUGGGACCAGAAAGAGGAGGAGACACAAGAAGGUUGGAAGAAAUUUAAAGAAUAUUUAGCUAAAUAUUGUUAUAUAUGAUAAUGAGAAGUCACUUGGAAGUAACAAAUAGGCUUAGGACUAAAAUAUGAACGUGUUGUAAAAUAUGAAGGAUUAGAAUACUAAUAAAAGAGACAAGGAUAGUAAAUAGGAGAUAAUUUUAUUAGAAAUAUGAUUUUGGAGAACUGUUACAAGGUGAUACAAUGAAAUUCAGUUAGGGGGGACUGGAUGAAGUCAGUUAACAAUGUAAGGUAAAUUGGGUUUUGAAAGUAAUAAUUGUUUCUAUGUUUUUCUUUUGUAUUCUAAUGUGUUUUCUUUUGUUGUGUGUUGUGUUGCGUAAUGUCAUUUCUUCUUAGAAAUUUGGAAAAGCAAUAAUUUUUUUUUGAAAAAAAUAUAUUUGAGGAGGCCACCCCCCAGGUUGUUUUUUUUAAAAAUGCAACCUUUUGUUCUUCCACAACUUGCCAUACAAUUUCUCUUUCAAUUUGCCCUCUUAAAAAAUUAAAAAAUAAACGCACAAAGGUCAUUAGAAAAACAAAAUACAAGAAAAUACAAACGUGGACAGGUCCCAUCUUUGCGGGACAAACGCAAAAGUUGCUUUAAAUCAGGGUUUCCCAAACUUGGGUCCCCAAGAGCUCCCAGACUACAGUUUCCAUCAUCCCUCCCCAUUGGUCCUGCUAGCUAGGGAUGAUGGGAGUUGUAGUCCAAAAACAGCUAGAGACCCGAGUUUGCUUUAAAGGGAAAGUAGGCCAGCCCUGUGACACCCUCUGUUGGCUAAUUGGAAUUAAUACAGCACAAAACUGAAGUUUGAUCAGCACUUCAACCUCUAGGGAGCUUCUAGGUGUUUUCUGCGCCACCUAGAGUACCCACAGAAUUGUGGCUUCUACUGGCAACACACACAGGAGAACAAAUGAAAGACAAACACAAGGGGCAGGAAAAAACCUGGAAAGGGCCAUACCAAAUGGACACAGGUAGAGGAGAUGAAAUGCCAGAAGUGUUCUCCGGGGCAAGGGGAGCUGCUGGGAAAUUGAGCUACGGGCUCAAAAUAUUACUUUUUUAAAAAGUCGCUGCCAUUAUAGGCAUUGCCAUUCAAAUGGUGUGCAUGCAUCAUGUGAUUGAUAGUGCAAGGCCCCCCAUCAAUAUUUUAUUCAGUUAAGUAGCACUGGGUCGGGUGGUUUCCCAAUUUAAAAAAUACAUAAAUCUCCUUCCUUUGCACAUAUUCCAGCUUGUCAAUAUCCUCAUUUAUUCUUUUUAAAAUUUAUUUGCACUUCUUCUGAAAAUUUUACAAUAUAAACAUACAGGAUGAAAGCAUGGCUUUCUCACAAACAAAUCAAGCCAGAGAAAUCUCUCCAUUUUUAUUUUUUUAUUUUUUUGGAUGGAGUUAGAAACUUUGAUCAGGGAACUGCUUUGGAAGUAGUGCAUCUUGAUUUCAGUAAGGCUUUUGACAGAGUCCUCUGUGAGAUUUAUGUGAGGAAGCUAGUAAAAUGAGGCUGAAUGAGGUAACUGUUAUGUGGAUUUGACUGACCGAACCCAAAGAGGACUCCUUCAUGGGUCCUCCUCAUCCUGGGGAAAAGUGACAAGAAGGGUGCUGCAGGGUCUUGAUAAAUGACAUGGAUGAAGGAAAUGAGGGGAUUCUCAUCACAUUUGCACACGACACCAAACGGAUCAUAAUGGCAUCCUCUCUCUUCUUCAGCAACAGACAGGGAGACAAAGAACAGUGCAAAAGCACAGCAGAGCGAAAGAGAUAAGACUGACUUCCGUUCUUACACUUUCCAAGCCUAGGAAAGUAAACAGGGGCAUGUGACAUACUAGCCACAUAUCCAGCAACGGGAGGAGUGAAUUGCUAGCACACCACACAUGAUUGCAGGUGAUAUAAGGAAAAAAACCUGCUCCUUUUUCCUUAUGGGGUACCCAAGAGCCCAUAUACAGCCCUUUUGUAGGUUCUCUAUCGGUAGGAGAAAAUUACAGAGACCAACCAGAGAAUAUUGAGAAGCAAAGCAGCUAUUAAGCCUGUUCUUUAUUAACUUAUUAACACGCAGGAGAGAGGAGGACCCCGAGCCAUGCAUGAAAGCCCUUAUAUAGACAUUUUUAAUUGCCCGCCCUGGAGUCCAAGACCACCCCCAGAUACAUCAUACAUACAUCAAAGAAGGGGUGUAGCCCAAGACUACCCCCCAGAUGCAUCAUACCUACGUCACAGAAAAAGCGGUCUACAACAGAAAUCUGAGUGCGUUGUUUUUACCUUGUCUGCCAGGUUACCUGUAAAUGGUCACUUGACUGGAUUACCUGGGGAGCCUGGCCAUUCUUUUGUAAUGAUAAUACUUCAUUCCUGAGCCAGGUCACAGGCUCACCCUAUUCACACCUUAAAUGUGCCCUUAAGGCAGGAUUUGUGAGGACAGAGACAACGGGGAGGUUUCUGCAUUUCCUUCGACCUUGUAGAGAAAUAUUUGAGGUGAGUGAAAGAGUCAAAAUGGCUUAAGGGCUUUUCCUGUGGGUUUUGGACAUGUGGUUUAUAUAAUUAUAUCUGUAUUUGCUUGGUAUAUUGAGGAACAUUUAUAUAAUAUAUCCUAAAAAAAUAUUUUAACCAUUUCCCCCUUUAGGGCUAUAAAUUUUUCUAAAAAAUUGUUGCCCCACAAAUAAUAACCUGGUUUGUUGUAAAUGGAUGCCUUCGUGUAAAUCUUAAGAGACUUGCAUGUCAGGCCUCUUGAGAGGUGGUGUAGUGGUUAAGAGCGGUAGUCUCGUAAUCUGGGGAACCGGGUUCGCUUCCCUGGUCCUCCACCUGCAGCUGCUGGGUGACCUUGGGCUAGUCACACUUCUCUGAAGUCUCUCAGCCCCACUCACCUCACAGGGUGUUUGUUGUGGGGGAGGAAGGGAAAGGAGAAUAUUAGCUGCUUUGAGACUUCUUCGGGUUGUGAUAAAGCAGGAUAUCAAAUCCAAACUCCUUUUCUUCUUCUUCUUCUUCUUCUUCUUCUUCUUCUUCUUCUCCUCCGCCUCCUCCUCCUCCUCCUCCUCCUCCUCCUCCUCCUCUUAAGGCUAUUUGCAUGUGUAGCAGUGCACAUAGCUGGACAUAGGAUAUCACAUAAAAAAAUAAUACAGCUGAAGUGUAAGGUUCAUAAAUAUGUAAGAAAAGACAGGUAUAUGCUCCUUUUUGUGUGUCUGUAUAUAUGUGAUUGAAACUUCAAUCUAUUUUACAAGAUGUACUAUAUAUAUAGAAUGUAUUGUAAGAAUAUUAAUAAAGCUGGGGGGGGGGAGGAAAGCGUGAGGCAAGGGGGAGGUGGUGCCAGAAUUUGGCAUCGUACAGGGCAGCACCACCAUUUGAGAUGCCACGAUCCGCCAUUGCUCUGACCUCUGGGGUGUGUCCUUUUCUUACCCAGCACCCCAAUCUCUGUGCAACAAGAAACUCCAGGGGUGCUUCUCCUUACCCGGGGUUUAGUUUUCUGGGAAUGAAGGUUAGCAGAGACUGUGGAGUCUUCAGGAUACCUGGUUUUAUUUGCACAUAUAUACAACCUGAGCACAGGAUGGAGGGGCUCUUAGCACCCCCCCCCCUUACAGAUCUUGCUUCUGCAUUAGGUUUCCCAUAAAGCCCCAAGUCCAGCUUUGGAGUCUGGCACAGAGCAGGAAAGAAUUUCAAGAGGGACAAAUCUAAGGUCCUGCACACGGAGAUCAGAUUCUAUCCAAUUCAGAUUUCUUUGUGGGGCAGGUAUAGGACCAUGAACACUCAUCCCAAUUUCUUAAAAGUCUUCCCACCACACUUUUCAAUGCAUUUACCCUUCAUUUUCCAAACUGCAAAAAGGCUAGAUUAUUAUUAUUUUUUAAGUGGAUUUCACAGUUGGGGAUGUUUAGCCUGGAGAAGGGGAGACGGAGACAUGACUUGAGAGCCGUCUUCAAAUACCCAAAGGGCUCCCACAUGGAAGAUGCAAGAAGCUUGCACCUGCUCCUGCUCUGGAGACAAGGACCCAAAUGACUUGUGAGAAAGGAGAUUCCAACUAAAGAACUGUCAUGCAUCCAUAAUGCUAUGGAAAGGGUGAAUGUCUUCUAGAAUUCUCUUGUGUCACCAGAAGAGGAAGCUGUUCUUUUCAGUUAGGUCUGUUCUCAACUGCAGAGGAUGAGUAGCCUUGGGAGUCUCUUGGGGAGAUGGAAGUGUUCAAAGGACUGAAUCUACUUGCUCUGAGAUGGGGGAACUUCGGGCAAAGGCCAGCAGAGAAGGGAUGCUGUUGGCCACUAGUUUCUGUUCCUCCCCACUUUCCCAAAGGGCGUAACAUCAGAGGUCCUGUGGAUAGAAAGAGCAUCUCAAAGUCAGGGGCCAGCCUGGGCCAAAGUGGCCCUCCGCUGCCUCCACCACAGAGUCCCUGGCAUCCCUUUACCAUCUCUGAUGCCAUCAGGACACUUACGUUAAGCAGGAGAAGGAGGUGCGGAGCAUUGGGGGUCUCUGUCAGAGCAGAUGAUGGAAGUGCCACUUCACUUCCAUGUUCAAGCCAGUAGGUCCCCGAAGGGCAAGGAAGGAAAAGAGAGAAGAGAUUUUGAGUCCUGAGUGCAGUUGUGGAAGUGUGUGAAGAGGAAGAAGAAAGAGCCAUGUCAAGAGAAGUCAAGACCAAUGACAAACCUUCCUGUUCACCUCCUGUUCUUCCUUCAGGAGUGUCUCAAACCUCCUGCGGACUAUUGCACUGCAGAGGUCGGAGAAGUUUGGAUUAUGGGCGCUCGUAAAAACGCCCCAGGCGCGCCAGGAUGUCCUGGAAGAGAGCAGAGGAGGAAAGUCAGGUCCUUCCAGGGGCAUCAGGAGGGCACCUCUGCCAUCCCCUGACAGCUCCCUCCUGGGGUCAUUCACACAACCAGAAUGGACUCUGCAGUGCGAUUCUUGGGCAGCUGGAUGGUCCAAAGGCCCCUCAGUGCUGCUGCCUCAAAGGAAAAGUAAAGAGGACUAAGGACAGACCUCCCUGUCCUCUCAUUCUUUCCCUCUAGUUGGCCUGGAAAGUUGUGUGGAGAAUUGAGAUGCCCAUCUCUGAAGUGGAGGACCCCCCAGCAGGCUUUGGAAAUGCCCCUUCAGUUCCUGCGGGAAAAGAGAAGAGAGGUUGAGUGCUGGGUUAAAUCUUGCAAGGGUGUGAGAAGAAGAAAGAGCUGAGCAAAGGGAAGUCAAGACAUACUUCUCUGUCCUCCACCUUCUCAGCCCCUUUCAGCACUGCCUCAAACAUCCUGUGCAGGAUAGCACUGGGCACAUCGCUGCUGAACUUUGGCCUCAUGAUGCUGCAGAGAUGAAGGGGAGAGGGUUAGAUGCUGCCUCCUCUGAGUCUCCCUUGCCCCCUUCUCCCUCCUGCCUGCUCUUCCCCACCCAGAGCUCCCCCUGGAAUUCUGUCCACCACCCACCCCCACAACCCCGUCCAUCCCAAAGAACCCCCUCACCUCAGCUGGAGGAGGGCCAGGGCCAGGCUCAGGGAUUGAUCCCUGAAGCGCUCCAAGUGCCCCAAGAUGUCCUGCAAGAGAGCAGAGGAGGAAAGCCAGCUCUUUCGGGGGGAGGCAGCCAGAGAACUGCACCCUGAGAUGCCCCCUAGCCCUCCGGUCUCCAAACUUGCUCACCUAUCACCACGGGCUCCUCCCGGACUUGCAGCGGGGCCACCCUGUUCCUCUGCUGGCAGCUGAACAGGGCCCUGAACCACCUGAACCUAGAAGAGAGGAGUGGGGGGGGGAGAGAGUGACCCAGGAGCCCCAAUGGGUGGGGGGUGUUUGUGUCUGUGCGGGGGGCCGAGAGAGGAAGGUGGUGGAGUCUUCCUUGGAACCAGAGAGACCCCCAUGAAGGGGGAGAAGGCCGAUGGCGUUGGGCAGCUGGAAAGAUGCAAGAUGGAGCCAGGGAGAGGUGCAGUGGUUGGAGGGCUGGACUAGGAGGACUGGGAAGAGCAGAGUUCGAAUCCCCACUGAGCCAUGAAGCUCCCUGGUGGACCUUGGGCCAGCCAGGCCUACUUUGCAGGGCUGCUGGGAAGAUAAAAAUUGGUGGCAGGGAGAACCAUGAAGGCCACUUUGAGCUCCUGGGAGGAAAGUGGGCUAGGAAUGUCCUAAUAAAAGCGGAUGAUGAGAGGGGAGAGAAAAGGGGAAGGCAGAGAAUGAGUUUGGAGGAGCUGAGCUCUCUAGAGAAGACUGGCCGGGUCAAUUUCCAGAGAGCCAAGACUGUGCAAGAGACCCCAGGACUCACCCCCCCCCAGAGACCAAGACCAAGGGAAAGAAUCCUACUUACUGUUAGGAUAUAGUUCCGUUCCACCUUAAAUGGUCAGACAUGAUUAUUGUGUGUCACAUGCCUGUUUACUCCCAGCACUGUUCUCUCUGGGAACUUCCGUUUUGUAUAUAGUUUUUGGUUUGGCUGUUUUCCUGGACACGGAUGCAAGCAGUCAUGUUUUUCCUUUCUUCUGAUCUACGUUGAAUAAAGCUGUAAAUAUGCUCUCCUAUCUGAAUCUUCCGUUGUGGAGACUGCUGAAAAGGGUGUGCACGAGUCUUGGAAUGUCUCUGAAGCUCGUGUCGCUAAUUGACUGAUGCUGUUCAACGAGAGACUGGGAGAUCAUCCGGAGGCGACGUGGAGGCCUGCUUGAUGCCUUCGUCUCCCUGGCAGUAUCCCAACACUUACAGCCUGUCCAUUUUGUCCAGGAAGAAAUCCCACCUUCCUCUCUAAACUAGCUGUCUAAAAUGCCCAUCCAAGCCUAACUUCUGACCCCAACCGCAGCCCUAAGCCUAAGCCUAACCUUAACUACCCCUCUAUGUACAAAAUAAAUAUAUGCAAAUAUAUACAAAAUGUGCACAAAAUAAAAUAAAAAAUAUUAAAAUAAAGAACAAUAAGAUAAAAGUGUUAAAACAAAAAACUAAAAUAAUAAAUCAAAUAAAAGUAUUAAAUGAAAUGGGAAGCAAAAUAAGAAACUGGAAAAAGAACAAUAAACCGAACUCCUUCCCCAAUCUCCGCCAACCGCCACCAACUCCUCUCUCCUCCACUCGCCUCACGCCUAACCCACAAAGGCCUCCUGCAAGUCGGUGGCUUUUUAGGGAGAAGCAACAGAGGUCACAAAGGAGGGCCGGUCCUUGUCAUCGUGGCGACCCCCCCACCUGGCCCCUCCCGAGAGGUGAUGCUCCUUCUUCAGAACUCGGAGGCCCCUGCUGUUCCGCCUGCAGCUGGGCUCCAUCUUCCUCUCACAUCCUUCUUCCUGCAGCCCCAUUUCCAAAGGGAGGCCAGCCCCACAUCCUCCCAGGCAGGCCAGGGGUCUCCAUAGCGCAGGAUUGGACCAUGUGCUUUGCAUGCAGGUCUUCCGUCCUGGGCGGCAUCUCCGGGGGGGGGGCUGGGAAUGUCUGCCCCCCCCCGUCCAAAACCCUGGAGAGCUGCUGCCAGUCAGUGCAGGUGCUGCUGAGGUUGCUGGGUCACAGGACUGGCUCUGUCCAAGGCAGCUUCCUAGGAAUAUUCCUCUUAUGUUAUAGAGCUGAAGAGGAGCAAGCUAAAUAACUUCUGCACCAGACCGACCAUCGAUUCCUUUAAGAGACAAUCUGGAAAAGUCCCUGUUUUUAUACAACAAGGUGACCAGAAUUAUUAUUAUUUGUAGUAUAUUUGUUGAUAUUUUCUCAACUAGAAAAAAGAUACACCUUAAAAUUCAGUAGGCUGAAACUCUUAACCCGUAAAAUGUUUAAAAUGAUUGUCUGAGUAAAAAUUAGCAUGCAAUCCUAAGGCCCCUAGGACAAAUCAGAUCAACUCCUCCUCUGCUGGAGACAAGAGAUUUGGUGUCAGAAGCAACCUCCCAACUUCUGGCUCCUCCGAUGCCCUGGCCAAAGAUGGGGGGGGGGGGGGGGAGAUAUGAAAGUGGUUGUAUUACUCUGGAGCGUGAGUGGCUAUCUCCAGUUUGGGGGGGGGUGUCGGGGGGGUGGACCUUCAAAUGCGCUCCAUUUUGGCUGGCCCUGCUGAUGUCGGAUCUCCGAUGAAGAGAGGAUCGAGGCAUGGGAGGAGCCAGAAGUUGGGAGGUGGUUUCUGACAUCUCUUGUCUCCAGUAUAGGAGGAGUUGAUCUGAUUUCUCCUAGGGGCCCUUUGGAUUGCAGGCCAAGGGCCUUAAUUUUUAACUCAAACAAUCAUUCUAAACAUAUUACAUGUUGAUAUCCUGCCUUUCUCCUUAAGAGAAAGACUCAAGGCAGCUUACACUUAAGACUGAAACAGCUAACCCCAUGGAAAAAGUGUAAUAAUUUAAGAAACCAUUACAUAUUAAUGUAAUUCAUAGAUAUAUCUGGUAUCUUGGAAGCAUACAGUACAUUCCCAUAGAGGCAGCAUGCCACCAGCGCUUUCAUGCAAAGCUGUCACUUCCCAAAGCCUCUUGGGACAAGGAAGUCUUGACCUGCCGGCCAAAAGACCCCAAGGUGGGAGCCAAGCUCAUUUCUCCAGAAAGGGAAGUUCCAACAAAUGCCGCUUGUUCACGUUAAACUGCAAUUGUUGUUCAUAAAGCAACUAUUCAAGACUGUAUGCAAAGUGGGCCUGCGUCAUCUUCAUGCCUGUUUCAUCUGAAUUUUGGGGAAGACAAAUUGCUACACGGAGAGAUUUAAUAAUGCAGAAAAAGUAGGAUAGAAUCUUUUAGAUUUCCCCUCUACAUUUGUGUAAUUAUUUUUAUGUACUUUAUACUAGUGUUUUAAGUGAAGCAACAAACGAGAAAGAAAAAUAGUAUCUUUUCAGACUGAUUGAUUGCAGUGGUUUGGCUUUCUGCCAAGUUGGCCCUGGGGAAGAUGGGAGAGGAGCUCAACCCCUCAGGAUUCGCAGGGAGUUCUGCUGACCUUUCGGGGGCUCAGGGCACAGAAAUGGCUCCUCUUUCUUUAAGGGCCCCACAGACCUCAUGGGACACCGGAACGGAUUCCCUUGUUGCUUCUUUGAGUCAAUGGAGGUUGCAGGAGGGCUGUUGAUAAAACACACCCUUCACACUUGGUUACGUCUUAGGAGCACAGGCACAAAUGAUUGUGUGUGUGUGUUUGUAGUUGGACACUCCGCCUGUCUCUGAGCAGUGAGAGACUCCUGGGGUUCCAGGUCCAUCUUUGAUUUCCUUGAAACAAAUGUCGGCAGAGACUGGGGUAUCUUUAGGAUCAAUUGUGUUAAGGAAAAUUCCGGGUUGAGAGGUCGGGGCACCAGUCGCCCGCAGGUCCAUGCAGUCAGUAAAAGAAGGAAAUUCCAGCCAAGCAAUUUGGAGCAAAACAGCAGUCAAUAGACUUAGAUCCUUUAUUUUUUAUUAUUAUUAAUUUUUUUUGAAGUUUUUAAGUCUACAAAAUAACAGAAGGAAAGGUUUACACAUAUGUACAUGUUAGUAACACAAAGCAUCACACCACCCUCACACACACCCUACCAUUGGUUCAACAUUACUCGAAAUGUGAGUUAAAAUCUGACUUCCAUCGUUGCUUGACCUUAAUUCUAUAACUUAUCAAAAAUCAAACAUCAAAAAUCAAUACAAAUCAGUUCACCCCCCCAAAAAAAGCAGACUCAGAGUCAGCUAACUUUAAAAAAUAAUAAUGAAAGAGUAUCACAGAUUCCGUGUAUGUAAAUUCCUUUUGCACAGCAGCGUCCACAUUUAGAACUCUGCAAUUCUAUGGUUAUUAUUAUCCUGAAGGCAAAGGUGGCCCCAGCAGGGUGUGUCUGUAUGUCUUUACUCUUUGCCGAAGCCUCUUGCAGUUCUCAGCCCUGCCCACUUGAUGUCGCAAAAAAACCAGCAUUCGCUAGCAAGCGUUGGAGUGAAGCCUUCUAAGGCUCUGCGGUCACCACAAUAAAACAAUAAGAGCCAUGACUUAAAACUGCCACUGCUUUCCCUGAAGAGGAACUCACAUAGUCUGCAAGACCGUUCCCCUCAAGCCCUGCCUCCUUGACAUCCGAUGCAACAUCAGGUGUGGGUCAGGUGAGGUCACGACUUUCUGCAAAAACUCAGGAGGCAGCGAUGGGCAUCAAUGGAUUGCUGUGGGUUUGGGAGGGUCAGUAUGGAUGGGGCCUGGGAGCCUCUCCGCUUUAUGCUUCAGUUGUAUAUUUCUUGUUGUUGUUGUUUAGUCAUUUAGUCGUGUCUGACUCUUCGUGACCCCAUGGACCAGAGCACUCCAGGCACUCCUGUCUUCCACCGCCUCCCACAGUUUGGUCAAACUCAUGCUGGUCGCUUCGAGAACACUGUCCAACCAUCUGGUCCUCUGUCGUCCCCUUCUCCUUGUGCCCUCCAUCUUUCCCAACAUCAGGGUCUUUUCCAGGGAGUCUUCUCUUCUCAUGAGGUGGCCAAAGCCUUGGAGCCUCAGCUUCAGGAUCUGUCCUUCCAGUGAGCACUCAGGGCUGUAUAUAUGUGUAAAUAUGUGUGUGUGUGUGUGUGUGUGUGUGUGUGUGUGUGUGUGUAAAUAAAUCCAUAUAACCUAAAGACAUCAUAGUCUUUGCUGACCUUCCUUCUGAGAAAACACAACCUGGAAUCUCCCACAGCUCAGAGUAUUGUAUGUUUGACAAAGUCCCCUGUAAUAUUCUUGUGGAGAAGCAGGUAAAAUGUGGGCUGGACAAGGUAACUGCUAGGUGGAUUUGUAGCUGGUAAACUGACUGAACCCAAAGAGUGCCACUAAUGGUUCCUUAUCACCCUGGAAAAAGUGACAAGUGGGGUGCCACAGGUUUCUGACCUGGGUGUAUUAUUGUUCAAAAUCUUUAUAAAUGACUUGGAUGAAGAAACUGGGAGGGAUGCUCAUCAAAUUUGCAGAUGACACAAAAUUGGGAGAGGUAGCUAAUGCUCCAGAGGACAGAAUCAAGAUGACCUUAACAGAUUGGAGAACAGGGCCAAAAUGAACAAAAUGAAUUUCAACAGGGACAAAUGUAAGGUUCUGCACUUAGGUAGUGCAGAAAAGAGCCUGGAAAAGAGGAGACUGAGAGGAGAUUUGAAGGGCCGUUGCAUGGAAGAGGGAGCAUGCUGUUUGUUUUCUCCUGCUCUGGAGGUUGGGACCCAAAACAAUGGCUUCAAGUCACAAGAAAGGAGAUUUCAACUCAACAUCAGGAAGUACUUUCUGACAGCAAGGGUUGUUUGGCAGUGGAACAAACUCCCCUGGGAGGUUGUCAAUGCUCCUUCCUUGGAGGUUUUUAAGUAGAGGUUGGAUGGCCGUCUGUCCUGGAUGAGAUCCUUGCAUUUCAGGUGGUUGGACUAGGUGUCCUUUGGAGUCCCUUCCAAACCUAUGAUUCUAUGAGUGCAUGUUAGUAUGUGUAGCUUGGUAUUGUGUAUACCAGCAAUGACCCUCCCGGUUGUCAAAUGCCUGAUCCGGUGCUCAGCGACAUUCGGGAUCUGGCUUCCAUAAUCUCCCUCCCAGACUGUGGCGUAUCACAGUGGCCAAGAGGCAGGUUUUUAGAGUUCUGUGUGAUCCUACUGUCCUCUGCCUCCUUGUCACGUGGGCGCUUUGCGAAUGCUUGCAGCCCCGCUUUAGUUAAUGAACUAAUCCCUGCGUCUGUUCCGUUCACAGUGACGGAGGGGAAUGCGUUUGGGCAGAUGAGCUGCUGUUAGGAACACCCCAGAGGGAUGCUGUCUAGAGAGCCUGCAUUCAGAUCACCUGCUUUCUGCAUGAGGUGGUGCCCUUUGCCUUGGGGUAAGCCUCCUUGUCAGAGGGAUGGAGUUGACACGAUGGGCCCACGGCUCCCAACUGAUUCCAGCUGCCCAAGAGGCAAGCAUCCCGUCCAUCCUCUCUGAGACCUGACAAUCCCCUCCGAUGCUCAUCAGCUUGUUAAAUAACAAUUCGGCCAACCAAUGGGAUAGAGGCCGUGAUGAUGACAGCAUUUUGGCCGGACUGAGAUGCGGGGGGGGGGGGGGGGCAGAGCAGGGUUAUCUAACAAGCCUCAGCUCUCGUUAACCAUUUCCUUAAUGUGACAUCUGGUUCAUUUAGGGGGGGAAAAUUGCAGCUGCAGAAUGCAGGUCUAUUCUCGUCGGUCCUUUUCACAAUGUCAUUUUGUAGACUUCCGUGUUCCUUAAUAAUAAUAAUAAUAAUAAUAAUAAUAAUAAUUUAUUUAUACCCCACCCAUCUGGCUGGGUUUCCCCAGCCACUCUGGGUGGCUUCCAACAGAAUAUUAAAAUACAAUAGUCUAUUAAACAUUAAAAGCUUCUCUAUACAGGGCUGCCUUCAGGUGUCUUCUCAAAGUCUGGUAGUUGUUUUUCUCUUUGACAUCUGAUGGGAGGGCAUUCCACAGGGCGGGUGCCAUUACCGAGAAGGCCCUCUACCUGGUUCCCUGUAACUUGGCUUCUUGCAGGGAGGGAACCGUUAGAAGGCCCUCGGAGCUGGACCUCAGUGUCUGGGCUGAAUGAUGGGGGUGGAGAUGCUCCUUCAGUUAUACUGGACUGAGGCCAGUACUGGGCUGGCACCCACCUGUAAGUCUCGAGCCAUUUUGGGGUGGGCAUCAGUGUCAAACGUGCCCACGGUCUCCCUUUGCCCGCCCUGCCGUGCCUUAGCUUUUGAACUGGACUCAUGCCAGCAGCAGCAGCAAUUAACGCUUCACAUGCUGAGAAAAGGCAUUUUCAAUUAGAUUUUUACUAGUACCCCAAGAUGUAUCAAAUGGAGUCCUGAUGCAACCCCCCCCCAAAAAAAAACCCCAUACACUUAGAAUGCAAGAAUUCAGAAUUUCAUAGAAUCUUAGAGUUGGAAGGGACCCCUAAGGGUCAUCUAGUCUGACCCUCUGCAAUGUGGGAAUCUCAGCUAAAGCAUCCAUGACAGAUAGCCACCCAAUCUCUGCUUAAGAACUUCCAAGGAAGGAGGUUUUGUUCUGGAUGCCAAAACUGAACAGAGCUCACAGGCCGCCCACCCCAAAACCUCCACUCCUGGUUACCCCUUGCUCUCAGCUUUGCUCUCAGCUUUCCCCCAGAGAAUCCUGGGAAAUGUAAUGUGUUAAGGGUGCCAGGAAACUACAGCUCCCAGGAUUCUUUCCUGGGGAGCGGUAUGGAACGUGCUGUACAUUUACAGUAGGAAUGCAAUCAUUUUAGCAAUGCAAUUCAGGGUGGGGAUGUGUGUUAUUUUUUGUGCCACCGUGCUUAAAAAAAAUUGGGAGGCAUAAAUUUUUGUCAAUCUAAUUCAAGUCAUCUAGAGAUCUGCCAGUAGAGUCCUGUGUACCUCCUGCCCACCGCUGGCAUCAGGAAUGUUCUCCCCUCUUAAAUAUAGGCUGUAUUCCUGCCUCCCCAAGGGUUGGGGCUGAGCCAGCGGCCAGGGAGAGAAGGGGCUAAACUUCUGCCUUCUGUCUGAAGAAGAGCUGCGGAAGGGACAUGGAAGGGACUUAAGGGCCUCGGAUAUAAGGUUACCAGGUUAAUGCGCUAGAUCAAUGGGAUAAAAAGGACUGACAAAACCCGGGACCAGGAGGAAGGGAUGCUGGAUGAAGAUUGGAUUGUUUCUAUUUCUUUUUUUUAUUACUAGGAUUGUUUUAUAAAAUUGAUGACUGUUAGAAAAAUGUUGGAACGAAAUUACUUGGCUCUAGCAAAAAUGUUUAAAGAAUUAGGCAAGAAUAUUAUGGUCAUGAGAAGUGGGUAAAAAUAAGAUUUAAGUUUUAAGGUUUUUUAUAAGAUAAGAUGAAAAUAGAUCAAGGUAAUGUAAUGACAGAAUAUUAUGAAAUAUGGAAAGGAUUUGCUGCGAUAAUUAAUAACUGGGAUACAAAAAAAGGGAGGAGGAGGAGGUCAAAGAAAGAAGGUAAUGAAAGUUGAAGAUUUGAGAAUGUUGGUUUUAUUUUUGUAUGUUUGUGGUGUAUAUUUGUUUUUUGAAUUUGUAUUGUUGGAUGGGGUUUGCUUUCUUUUUCUCUUUUCUGUUUUUUCUUUUUUCUUUUUCUGCUUUGUCUUUUUCUGUAAUUUAAAAAAUCUUCAAUAAAUAUCAUUAAAAAAAAAAAUAAACUUCUGCCUUCUGUCAUCCGAAUCAUCCAGGCAGGCAUUCCCCCACCCCACCCUAAAUGGCGAAUGACAGACUUUUCUGGAAAUUCCCACGGAGGUAAGGUUAGCUGGGUGAUAAAAAUGGCGAUUAUCUUUUGCCCAAAAUGCUUUGCUGCUUUUUCUACCAGUCAGUUUCAGUGCAGCUGGAGGGGUUCGGGCGCAGAUUUAGAUUUGUGCAGUUAAAGUGUGUCAAAGCGCGCCACUUUUAUUUAUUUAUUUUAUAAAAAGUGCUCCACCCCCACCCCCCGGUUUGGAAAACUAAUUGAAGUGGGAAGCAGAUAGCUCAAUCGGGAGAGCAUGAGACACAUAUUCACCCAGUGCUUUUCCAGCUGCACUGGCUCCCGGUGGAGUACAGGGUCAGAUUUAAGGUGCUGGUUUUGACCUUUAAAGCCCUAUAUGGCCUAGGACCCAUGUACCUACGGGACCGCCUCUCCCGGUCUGCCCCACAGAGAGCCUCAAGGUCCAUAAAUAACAACACUCUAGAGGUCCCGGGCCCUAAGAAAGUUAGAUUGGCUUCAACCAGAGCCAGGGCCUUUUCAACACUGGCUCCGGCCUGGUGGAACGCUCUGCCUCAUGAGACCAGAGCCCUGCAGGAUCUGAUUUCUUUCCAUAGGGCCUGUAAGACAGAGUUGUUCUGCCUGGCCUUUGGCUUGGAAUCAACUUGAUUCCCUCCCCCUCUUUCUUUUUUCCUUUCUCCUCCUGUGAUGAGGCUGCAUUUUAAUGUUUUAAUGUUGUAUUUUAAUCUUGUUUUUUAAGUUGUAUUUCAAUCAACUUGUUUUUUAUUAUUGGUUGUUAGCCGCCCUGAGCCCGGUCUUGGCUGGGGAGGGCUGGGUAUAAAUAAAAUUUAUUAUUAUUAUUAGGGUCAAGGGUUCGAGUCCCAUGUUGGGCAAAAGAUUCCUGCAUGGCAGGGGUAGGGUUAGAUUGCCCUCGUGGUCCCUUGAAUGGUUCAAUGGUUCUAUGGCAUGUAAACUGCAAGCCAGUCAGGAUGGAUGGAUGCUCACUGUCCUAUGAUCUAUAGCUGAGUGAGAAAUUUGAUUCUGUUGGCAUUUUAAUCCAGCUCUCCAUCAGGGGAGCCAGAAGGUAGCUCCUCCUGCAAGUCAGCUAUGCAGAUCCAGGUGUGUGUAUGUGUGUGUGUGUGUGUUAGUAUUAGGUGCAGGCAGAGGGGCUCCCUGCCCCACCAUUGCCUCCUCGGCCCCACCUGCCCCACCUCUCUGGGGUCAAACAGCCUGCUUUUGGAAAGCCCUACAUUAAUAUAAUAAAAUGACCUAUUGGCUGGGGAUGUUUAAUCUCCCCAUGAAAAUAUUGGCAGAUGUUCUUUUUGUAGAUUAACAGGAUCCUCGGCACACGCUUUUCAGAUGAACCCAAAGCACAGACGCAGAAGGAGGGCUGGCUGGGGUUUGCUGGUGGCUUCAUUUAUGGCCAAGCCAUCCAGGCUGUGAAGAGUGGAAACUACCAUUCACAACACAACACUUGGGCAACUCAAUAGCUUUCCUUGCAAGGAUAGAACACAGGUAUGGGUGUGGGUGUCACUGUAAUAAUAGCACAAAGCAAAGCUAUUGCGAAUUUGGACAGAAUCUAGCCUCUAAAUCUAGGAAUGCAGAUACAGAGAGCCAGUGUGGUGUAGUGGUUCAGAGCGGUAGUCUCGUAAUCUGGUGAACUGGGUUCGCUUCCCUGCUCCUCCACAUGCAGCUGCUCACACUUCUCUGAAGUCUGUCAGCCCCACUCACCUCACAGAGUGUUUGUUGUGGGGGAAGAAGGGAAAGGAGAAUGUGAGCUGCUUUGAGACUCCUUAGGGUAGCGAUUUUGACUAAACUGCAGGAGGCGGUGGAAGGCAGAAGUGCCUGGCGUGCUCUGGUCCAUGGGGUCACGAAGAGUCAGACAUGACUAAACGACUAAACAACAACAGGGUAGUGAUAAAGCGGGAUAUCAAAUCCAAACUCCUCCUCCCCUCCUCCUCCUCCUCCUCCUCCUCCUCCUCCUCCUUCUUCUUCUUCUUCUUCUUCUUCUUCUUCUUCGUCCUGCUUUCUUUUGUCUUGGUCAGCCCACACCUGGAGUCCUGUGUCGAGUUCUGGGUGCCACAAUUUAAGAAGGAUGUUGACAAGCUGGAAGGUGUGCAGAGGGCAACCAAAAGGAUCAAGGAUCUGGAAACCAUGCCUGAUGAAGAACGAUUGAAGGAGCUGGGUAUGUUAAGUUUGGAAAAGAGGAGGCUGAGAGGUGAUAUGAAAGCCAUCUCCCAAUAUCUGAAGGGCUGUCCCAUGGAAAAUGGAGCAAGCUUGUUUUCUCCUGCUCCAGAGGAGUGGAUCCAAACCAGUGCAUUCAAAUGACAAGAAAGGAGAUUGUGACUAAACAUUAGGAAGAACUUAGAGGAGGAGAAAACCUUGUCUCUACCCACUUGGUCUGUGCCAAGCAUAAUUUUAUAAAUUUCCUUCAUAUUGCCUCUUACCUUUUUUUCCUAAAUUUAAAAGUCCCAAAUGCUGCAAUCUUUCCUUACAGAGGAGUCACUGCCUCCCCUUUAUCAUUUCGGUUGUCAUUUCCUAACAAGUUUAAUUAAUAAUAAUAAUGUCAAUAUAUACAUUUAUUAUCCUUGCACUUAUUUAAGAAUGUAUACAUCCAUAGAAGAGAGAAUCUCUGUCAGAUUAGGAACAGUGGAGCUGAAAUGUAGACACGGGAUCUCAAAAGAGAAUUUGCACUACACCCUUUUUUUGCACCCCCCAUUGGAGAGAAGUCAACUCUGCACCACGUUGGUGCAAAACCUAGUGGGCCAUGAAGUUGGUUUGUCAACAUUCUGUUCUGGAGAUUUGCUGUGACGAUGAGUGACGAAAAUCUCCGUUCACGGCAGAUGCACCUUAAUUUCUCAGCUCGGAUAUCGACAGCUGUUAAUUGAAACAUGCAAGACAGGAUUGCUCAGUUGGAUUACACAACUUUCAUCAUGCAGUUGUUUUUACCGCAACUUUUCGCCAGGAAUCUGCGUGGACAUUUGGAAAAGCCUGUGGAAGGAGACGCACCAUUCCGUUUGCAAAGCUUUUGCCCCUGAGAGAUCUGAAGAAGCUACUUGUUCCCUUUUAUCGACAACUGUUGCCAGAAAAGAAAGCCACACAACAACAAAACAUUAAACACAAUGCACGAAGGUUCUGCAUCGUACAGCGCGAUCCGUAAUAAUUAAACCAACAAAAUCUGCAGGAUAAUUGUGGAGCCUCUAAAACAAACAUCCUUUCUGGGUCCAGGACCAACAGAGAAAAGCGUGAUUAAUAGUCAGAACAGUUUCUCUUCAAAAGACAGGCUGCUUAAUUGUUUGCUUAGCCAUUUGCCUCUUAAUGCUUGAUCUAGGGGACAUUUCCAUACAUUAUGGUGCCGGAUUUCCUGUCCAAUUCAUAUGGGCACAUCUGACUUUGAAAACACAGCCUGCUCCAUCAUUGUGAAAUUACAGCUGCUUACCAUCUGCCUGAAAUUGCAGGGGGAUCUGCUUCCCUGGGUUUUAGAACUUAAGACAGUAGUAGUUAAGUAAUGGAGACAGACUGUGCUGAAGUAAGCAACUUCCAGCCAGCAGCGCCUAUCAGUCAGUUAUCUCAGUUUCACUGGAUGCAUAAGAACCUAAGGAGAGUGUGCUGGGAUCAGGCCAGUGGCUCAUCAACAGAUGCUUGUGGGAAACCCGCAAGCAGGAUUCGAACACAAGAGCAGCUCUCCCCUCCCGUGACUCCCAGCAACUGCUGUUCUGAAUGUGGAGGCAGAGAAGAGUCAUCCUGGCUGGUAGCCAUCGAUAGCCCUCUCCUCCAUCAAUUUGUCCAAUCGUCUCUGAAAGCCAUCUAGGUUGCUGGCCGUCACUGCCUCCGGUGGCAAGGAGUUCCAUGGUUUAACUAUGCACUGCAUGAAGAAGUCAUUUCUCUGUCCUGAAUCUCUGCUGGAUGUUCAUGAGUUCCAGAGGAAGAAGAAUAUUUCUCUCUCCACAUUCUCCGUGCUGUGCAUAAUCGUAUAAACUUGUGUCAAGUCGCCUCUUCACUCGCCUUUCCUCCGAACUAAAAAGUCUCAAAUGCUGCAAUCUCCCUUCGAUCAUUUUGGUUGCCCUUUUCUGAAACUGUUCCAGCUUUGCAGCAUUGCAUCAGGAAAAGGCUGAACUCGCCGUUCCCUGGAAAGUUCCUGAGACAGUCUCUUUGCAGAAUGACAUUAUAAACCCUUACAAUUCGGGACUCUCUCAAUUUUAAUUGUUAUUCAAAAGCCACUUCUUCAAAUGCCAAUAUGUGAAAUUAUCCUGGGUGGGAAACAUCAAGUUGAGAAGCUGUUUCUUUCUCCUUACCUCUGCCCCAUUUGGUCCGUUUCUUCCUGGCCUCCUUUGCAAACGUGGAAGGUCGGCGGGUCCCAGCGAUGCCAUCCAGCCUGACCUCUGCUAAUUGAACAGCCUCCAGCCAUAUCUAUAUCCAGCACCGCUUAAAUCGUUCUUGGCUGAAACGUUUGUCUGCGAAGGUCAGCUGGCCUUGCUCUGAUGGCUGCGGGUAAUGGAGAAUCUGUCUGUUCUGAUGAAGAUUUAAGCGGCGGUGCUUACAAUAAGACCUGUCUCUUUUUUUUCUAAUUUAGAUUUCCCUGCCUUCAGCUCCUGGCUCUUGGCUGUUCUUUACUGCUGUCUUCUGCUGGGUGAAGGAUUGGACCAGCAUGUGCUAAACUUUUUCUUUGCGAAGGUUUGUACAUAUUGCUGUUGCCAGAGGCGCUGAGAACAUGGCUCCAGAGGGCACCAAGAAUUGGGAACCGACUGCCCCUAAUCUACCACCAUUUUCUCUUUGGGUGAAGCACCCAACAUGGUCAGGAACAGCUGGGUGACAGAAUGAAUUCUUGCUCUACACUGGAACAUCUCUCUCUACUGUGUCUCUUGGAAAGCUGUGUUAUGCGCAGUUAUUUCAGAAACGCACUUACCCAGGUUCUGUCUCCUUGGAAUGAAGGUCAGCAGAGACUGUGGUGUA
RNAcentral lists this long non-coding RNA (19385 nucleotides) under Podarcis lilfordi (Lilford's wall lizard). Lineage: Eukaryota; Metazoa; Chordata; Lepidosauria; Squamata; Lacertidae. The record is from RNAcentral.